UGAAAACAAUGCUUCUUUCUCCUCCCGCACGCAACAACCCCCUCGCCUCUCCCCGUCCAUUUCUUCGUCCGCCCAGUGAGCCGCCGUGCGCCGUACUAGGCAUAACAGUUCUCCAUCUGUUCUCAAGGUUUGUACAUAACACAUUGAUCUAUUGAUCUCAGUUUUUGAAAUGUCAAACAAAGUUGUGUUUUCCAUAAAACAUGAAGAUCACAUGGAGAAACAUUCGACUGGGAAAGAUCAGUUUCUGAAACAUCCAAGAAAGAAAGACUCAGGAUUUGCAGAGGAAAAGAGAGCAAUCCAAGCAGCCAAAACAUUGAAUCCUAAAAAUCCUUCGUUCCUGCGUUUCUUGCGGCCCCAUAAUAUACGAAAAAGUUUUAUGGUGAAGUCCUCUUGAUUGCCGGUGUUAUAUUGGUGGGUCUGUUUGCUCUCCAACAUUGUGGCACCCACAAAGUAAAAUUUAUUUUUGCACCGGUUGUGAUCAUCUGGUUGGUAUCGAUUUUUUCCAUUGGGCUGUACAACACUCUACAUUGGAAUCCAAAGAUUGUGCGUGCAAUUUCCCCACAUUAUAUUAUCAAGUUUUUUAGUGAGAAUGGUGAAGAUGGCUGGAUUUCUCUUGGAGGGAUUCUUCUUUCAAUAACCUCUAUGUUGCAUCUGGAAAUUGUUAGAAUAUUAUCUGGCUUGCAUGAUAUUUUUACUUGGUUGUGACAUAAGUUGGUGCAACUCAUCUUUGUAGUUCUGGUUGGGUUGAAGUUUUGUUUAUUAGAGACAAAAUGUUCUUGCUACCUUAGCAUAUGAUCAGAACUGGGGAUGUCACUAUUUUUAAUGCACAACUACUAAGCUUUUUUGGGUCUCACCAGGUACUGAAGCUAUGUUUGCAGAUCUUGGUCAUUUCACUGCCUUGUCAAUAAGGCUUGCAUUUGCAUUUGUUAUAUACCCUUGUUUAAUAGUGCAAAUACAUGGGUCAAGCUGCUUUCCUUUCAAAAAAUCUGAAAUCCAUUCCAGAAAGUUUUUAUGACUCAAUUCCUGAACCUGUAUUCUGGCCUAUCUUUGCUAUUGCCACCCUUGCAGCAAUUGUUGGGAGUCAGGCUGUUAUUACUCCUACUUUCUCCAUCAUCAAGCAAUGUCAUGCCCCUGGUUGCUUUCCCCGAGUCAAAGUUGUGCACACCUCAAAACACAUAUAUGGGCAGAUCUACAUCCCAGAAAUAAACUGGAUACUCGUGGUCCUUACUCUUGCCAUAACAAUUGGAUUUCGAGACACAACUAUAAUCGGAAAUGCUUAUGGUAAGUAAUGCUUUGAAAGAGCUUCUCACGGUGUCUCUCUCUUUGGAUUGAUAUAUAUGGGUCUUGAACAUGCAACCACACACUCUGCCUUGUUUCUACCAGUUUGAAUUACAGCUCAUUGGCCUCUAUGUUUGUUCUAAUAUCCAAAGAUAAUUAGCUUCUAGUUGUAAUCAUAUACCUUGUGUUGAUUUAGUUAUUUUGAGAACGUCCAUUCUCUCUCACUAUCUCUCUACAAAAGAUACCACCAUUAUUGCUCAA
Molecule: long non-coding RNA, 1539 nt
Organism: Juglans regia (Persian walnut)
Lineage: Eukaryota; Viridiplantae; Streptophyta; Magnoliopsida; Fagales; Juglandaceae
Exons: 4
Source: RefSeq, a predicted model, not a curated record